This 2002-nucleotide long non-coding RNA is filed under the name Theobroma cacao (cacao). RNAcentral describes it as "long non-coding RNA (TCAC_LNC002401)". The record is from RNAcentral. Lineage: Eukaryota; Viridiplantae; Streptophyta; Magnoliopsida; Malvales; Malvaceae.
UUCAUUAUGGCCAGCCAAAGCAAGAACAAAGGAAGAAAAAGGAAGAACAAACCCUAGGUGGAAAAGUUCAAGGGAAAAGUGUGAAAAUUCAAGAAAACAAGUGAAAAAAAGGUAAGAUUUUUCAAUUAAGCUUGUGAUAUAUCUGUCUUAAGCAUUUUUUCUUAUUUUUCAUGGUUGAAUCACAAGAUAUCAUGAAGGAUAGUGUGCUGAUCAAACCCUAGGAGAGAGAAUUUGAUGAUGAUUUAGAUAGAUUUUUAAGAUAUAUGGAUGUUUUUAGUUGUUUAUGGUGUUAAGUGUAAGAAUUAAGCUUCAAAUUCACAUAUUCCUCAUGAGUUCAUCAUUGGCUGAAUCUUCCUUGUAGAGUGUUGAUGGUGGAUUUGAUUUUAUUUCAGGUGAAUUGGUUAGGAAAUGAUGAAUUAUGGUGAGAAAAUCAAGUAGGAAAAAUCAUAGUGUUGAUGCACUCACCAUGGUCGAAAUUCUCAAAAAGAAAUGUGAGGAUGAUUUUGAUAAAUUUUAUGCUAUUUGACUUGUGUUUGAUGGUUUGGAGAAUUGGAAGAAAAAUGGAAUUAUUUGGAGUUAAAUUGGACAUAUUGGCCAAUUAAUCGAGCGAUAGAUCGAAUUAGGCUAAUACCAUUUUAUUUAGGUACAUAAUUGAAUUUAUAUUGAACACCGUAUUGAGAUAGUUACCCAAGUAUUUCACAUCCCAUUUCAUGCAUUAGUAUAAAGCCUGAAUUGGUUUUACAACGGUUUAGCACAAAUGUAGUAAAUGGCUUAUUGUGCAUUAUGUCUAGGUGGUGAGCUUUCUGGCAAAAGUAAAGAGAUAGUACUCGAGGAUUAAGAAUCAGAGUACUCAGAAUUCGACUUCCGAAAUAGUGAGUAACCUUACUAUCGUCUUAAUUAUCUAAAGUGGUUUUUAUCCGAUUUUGUGGUUUUUAUCCGAUUUUGUGAUUUUAUGGAAAAUGAGUUUAAAUGGUAAAUCUUUAUGUUUUAUAAGCAAAAAUGUGAUUAAAUGAAAUGAUUUUGUAAAAUUGUUUUGAAAUUGAAUGAUGGUUUUGAAAAUGGAGCAAUUGGAGACUAAUUGCUGUGUUAUAAAUCAUGGUUUGAAUUGAAUGGCUUAUGAUAAUAUUAGCAUGAAUAGUUGAAUUGGUAUUUGUGUUGAAAAUGUAUGAACUGUUAAUUUGCCUUGAGAGGCUGUAAAAUAAAAUAAUUGCCAUGUCAUGCUGUUGAAUUUUAUUGAAUUGAUGGGUUAUAUAUUAGUCGCUGCAGUGGAUGGGUUCCGUGGAUCAGCCUAUUAGAGGGGCACGGUAACCCUAUUAUAUUCAUACCUCAGUAUGAGAGGCGCGGUUGGAUAACUCCUGAGGUUAAAACUUUAGAGUUCACUUCACACUAAACCACCACGUGAGGGUGAACUCAGCCAACGCCAAGGAACGACUAUGUUUUCAAAAUAAAAACAUGAUUUAUACGUACAUAACUUUUUAACAGCCUUGGCGAACUCGGUUGGGAUAGCCCUCAGCCAAGGUAUCCCUAAUAACUGAGUAUGAGAAUGAUUUUGGCACGAGCCAAAGUUUUAAGAAAUUCAUAAGCCAUGUUGAUUUCUCAAUUUAUAUGAAUUGAUUUUAUUUGGUUGAAAUGAGUUGAAAGGUGAUGAAUUACAACAUGUUAAACUAUUUUAUCUGUCUUCAUUUACUCAACUUUAGAUAUUUUAGAUGGUAUUUGUUUACUCACUGGGAUUAUAUAAUCUCACCACCUUCCUUUCCACCCAUUUCAGGCUCAAGAUUGUCGGUAGAUAGCUCAUUUCGUUGAGGGCUACAGUUGGACUUGCAUCCUAAAAAACUGUAGGUUUACCGCUUUUGAUACUUUUGGUCGUUCAUGGGCCCAUGUGUCACUGUAAAUAAAAUUUUAUACUUUGGUUAUCUGUAUUACAGUAUUUAUGAAUUUAUUUAGCUUUUACGCUACAAAAAUUAUUUACCGGUAACUCUAUAAAUAUUAUUUUACAAGAAAA